Long non-coding RNA from Oreochromis niloticus (Nile tilapia), 837 nucleotides. RefSeq lists it as uncharacterized. The record is from RefSeq and is a predicted model, not a curated record. NCBI's taxonomy places the organism in Eukaryota, Metazoa, Chordata, Actinopteri, Cichliformes, Cichlidae. The transcript has 3 exons.
GGUUUAAAUGUAUAAUCUUAAAUGCUUAAAUGCUGAUUAUAUUGCUUUAUAAGAAAGGCCCAACUCUGAGUACACUCUGUGCCAAAAGUGCUGACAUGAAACUGCAUACUUUUGCAGAGCAUAGGACCAGAAAGUGAAACCAACUAGGCUGUUUGAUCGAAACUUAAAGUGUGGUGUGACGUAGAGAGCAAGUAUAUAAACAACUAGGCUUCCUUUUGUGCUUCAGACCUGGGGUUGUGUGUUUUGUGUUCAGGUCUCCAUAUCCCGGAUAUGUAAAACAAAGAUCAUUUUUAAAGUAAUAAGACCACUUUUGAGCCGUGUCUUUCUUGGCCGUAAAGAAUACGAAAGAACGGAAUAUAAUACUUGGUGCCAGUGACCCGGAUUCUUGUGCGGCUGAGGGGACUAAUUUGGACCUUAAGGUACGAUCUGAUAUGAGGUGGACAACAGACCGGUCUAAAAGAGUAAAGCUGACAGAGAGGAGGUGGAUUCAGAGGUGGAGUCUGUCCAGCUGCCCUGCAAUACCACACUUCAUCUGGCUGAAGGUGCUAAAGUGGAGUGGAUGGACAGUGGUGAUCAUAGGGUUCAUGUAUUUCAGAAUGGCCUGGACCAGCCAGUUGAACAGAGUCAGGAUUACAGAGGACGAACAAAGAUGUAUGCAAACCUGGUGAAAACUGGAGACCUCAGUCUGUUCCUGGACCGCCCCACAGAGAAAGACACAAACAUCUACACCUGCAGCGUCUACAGCAGGGAGGGAAACAUCCUGCUGAUGAAACAAGUGAAGCUCUAUGUCAGAGAAUACAAAUCCUCUAACAUAACAAUAAUCACAGUGGCAUGCGU